GACUACAGGGGUAUCUAAUCCUGUUUGCUCCCCCGGCUUUCGUGCCUCAGUGUCAGUAACAUACUAGAGAGCCGCCUUCGCAUCCGGUGUUCUUCUUGAUAUCAACGCAUUUCACCGCUACACCAAGAAUUCCGCUCUCCUCUCCUGCACUCUAGCCCUGCAGUUUCGAAUGACGUUCUGGAGUUAAGCUCCAGGCUUUUACAUCCGACACACAGAACCACCUACGCACCCUUUACGCCCAGUAAAUCCGAACAACGCUCGCCACCUCUGUAUUACCGCGGCUGCUGGCACAGAGUUAGCCGUGGCUUCCUCCUUCGGUACCAUCAAUCAAAAGGGGUAUUAAUCCUCUCGGUAUUGUUCCCGAAUGACAGGAGUUUACGACCCGAAGGCCUUCAUCCUCCACGCAGCGUCGCUUUGUCAGGCUUGCGCCCAUUGCAAAAGAUCCUCGACUGCAGCCCCCCGUAGG
RNAcentral lists this ribosomal RNA (466 nucleotides) under uncultured Verrucomicrobiota bacterium. RNAcentral describes it as "uncultured Verrucomicrobia bacterium partial 16S ribosomal RNA". The record is from RNAcentral. Lineage: Bacteria; Pseudomonadati; Verrucomicrobiota.